AUGCCUGUGGCACGAGGCGCCAAGAAGCCGGGUCCCGUCGACUCCGACUCUGACGACGAUGGUCUCGUCUCCAAAAAGCCGACCAAAUCGUCCACCUAUUCGGUUCCUACCGGCAACAAGAAGCAGUACAAGGACGGGUUCAAGGACUCCGGCGGGCUGGAGAACCAGUCGGUGGAGGAGCUCGAGAACUACGCGGCGUACAAGGCCGAGGAGACCACAGACACGCUCAACGGCUGCCUCCGUAUCGCUGAGAACAUCAAGGAGGAUGCCACCAACACGAUGAUAACCCUGCAGAAGCAGGGAGAGCAGAUCAGCAGGACCCACGAGAAAGCCGUCGAGAUCGACCAGGACCUCACCAAGGGUGAGGGUCUCCUUAAUAGCCUUGGAGGGUUCUUCUCCAAGCCAUGGAAGCCCAAGAAAACAAAGAAGAUCAAGGGGCCAGUGUCGCGAGAUGAUUCCUUCAAAAAGAAGGUGAACCGAAUGGAACAGAGGGAUAAGCUAGGGCUGAGCCCUCGAGGGAAGGGGAAUACCCGCGAGUACGGCGAAGCCACAAGUGCCAUGGACAAAGUUCAGUUGGAGAAGAAAAAGCAGGAUGAUGCCCUCGACGAUCUCAGCGGCGUGCUGGGGCAGCUCCAGGGCAUGGCUGUUGACAUGGGAUCAGAGCUUGAUAGGCAAAACAAAGCACUCGAUGAUAUGCACGGCGACGUGGAAGAACUCAACUCCAGGGUGAAGCAAGCAAACCAGCGUGCCCGCAAGAUUCUCGCCGAUUAG
This 771-nucleotide ribosomal RNA is filed under the name Triticum aestivum (bread wheat). Its description in RNAcentral is "partial small subunit ribosomal RNA". Lineage: Eukaryota; Viridiplantae; Streptophyta; Magnoliopsida; Poales; Poaceae. The record is from RNAcentral.